AAGGUUUUAAGUUAACCAAACUAAUAGCCUUCAAAGCUAUAAAUAAAAUAUCAUUUUUUAAACCUUA
This 67-nucleotide transfer RNA is filed under the name Cosmetura nigrogeniculata. RNAcentral's name for it is "tRNA-Trp". The record is from RNAcentral. Lineage: Eukaryota; Metazoa; Arthropoda; Insecta; Orthoptera; Tettigoniidae.